Molecule: ribosomal RNA, 164 nt
Filed under: Eragrostis cilianensis (stink grass)
Lineage: Eukaryota; Viridiplantae; Streptophyta; Magnoliopsida; Poales; Poaceae
Also listed under: 9 other names
Description: 5.8S ribosomal RNA
Rfam family: 5.8S ribosomal RNA
About the family: 5.8S ribosomal RNA (5.8S rRNA) is a component of the large subunit of the eukaryotic ribosome. It is transcribed by RNA polymerase I as part of the 45S precursor that also contains 18S and 28S rRNA. Functionally, it is thought that 5.8S rRNA may be involved in ribosome translocation.
Source: RNAcentral
CACAUGACUCUCGGCAACGGAUAUCUCGGCUCUCGCAUCGAUGAAGAACGUAGCAAAAUGCGAUACCUGGUGUGAAUUGCAGAAUCCCGUGAACCAUCGAGUUUUUGAACGCAAGUUGCGCCCGAGGCCUUCUGGCCGAGGGCACGUCUGCCUGGGCGUCACGC